RNAcentral lists this unclassified non-coding RNA (241 nucleotides) under uncultured fungus. RNAcentral describes it as "partial contains 5.8S ribosomal RNA, internal transcribed spacer 2, and large subunit ribosomal RNA". Lineage: Eukaryota; Fungi. The record is from RNAcentral.
AACGCACAUUGCGCCCCCUGGUAUUCCGGGGGGCACACCUGUUCGAGCGCCAUUACAAACCUCAAGCCUUGCUUGGUGAUGGGCCCCGCCCGUGCGGCGGGCCCGAAACUCGUGGGCGCCCCAGGCCGGACUCCAAGCGUAGCAAAACCCUCGCUUGCGGACGACCGGUCGGAGGCCGCCCGGACCCCCAAUUUUAUCAAUGGUUGGCCUCGGAUCAGGUGGGGAUACCCGCUGAACUUAA